UAAUGUUCCUAUUGGCCAAUCGGCUGCUCGCUCAUCCCAUCAUUGUCCAAUAAGCUGCUGGUUCCUUUCCCGCGCUUAAGAGUUUCGAGUGUGAGGGAGAAGUGACGCAAUGAAAAACGGGAGCGGCAGAUAGGAGAACACAAUGGCGCCAUAUAUAUAAGAGCAGAGUAACAGGCACCCCUGGGAACUGCACGGAAUAGAAGUAGAACAACCAACUUACAGAUACCAACUACAGGGACCCCCAUGCUGCAUGGAGGAAUCACAUCAGCAAGGCAUUAUGGGACAGUGUGACCCUGGCAGUAAAAUACUGUUUCCUGUCUGUUACGGUUUCCUCUCUGACUCGUUCCCACAGACACACAAGGGUGGCAGAGAUCUCUGUAGGUGCAUCAUGGGAUACUAGGCACCGGGGACUCCCUGUAUUCCCACAACACAGCCAGCAGCAUAUUGUUAAGGGUUAAACUAUCCCCCCCGACACACUAACCAUGGAGACACAGCAAUGGCAGCUGCAAAGGCAAAUACCCUGUUCGGCUCUUUUAUCCAGCAUGAAAUCACCUUAUUUCACCCUAUGAAGCACGUCACAGCUCUGGCGUCUCUUUGGGCCAAGCUGGCACUGCCCAUAUCACUGCACCACUCAGCGCAGCCCUGCUAGAAAGCCGUGAUUGGCAGAGCAAUAUUCCUAGCGGGCUCGUGUUGCUAUAAAAAGCCGCCUUUAUUAUGGAAGUCCCAGUGCCUGUAAGUUGUUGCCAGGGAGACUGGGCAGUGACGGAGCGACAGAGCGAGUGCUUGUAGAACUGUAGCGCACAAGUGGGUGGCACCGGCUGCAGCCAGGAAUCCAUCCACCGAGAUACAGAGGGGGACGGGGGCACCUAGCCCACACCCUGGGGCCAAUUAACCCUCAAACCUUCACUUAUAAAUCACAGACUGAGACAAAUGUCAUUCAAAUCAUUCACUGUCCAACACCAAUAAUAACAAUGGCAGUGUGCUUGCUAAAAUGCUUGCAGUACUGCUGAUGGGGGUUAAACUGCAGCAGAUUUGGGUCAGUACCAUGUACUGAGAUACAGAAUUGCCCCAGCUUUCUUGAGUUUUACGUUAUAACAGAAGUAGGAGCCGUCAUGGUGAUUUCUAUGGGACUGGUCAUGGACAGCUGAGCCCAGUAAAUAAGGGUCCAUCUUAGUCCUUACCUCCCUUUUCCAUCGGGCCAACCACUCGUCUCGCUUCCUCUUGCUGAUGUAAUAGGGGUCCCCGGCCUGGAAGGGCAGCCUCUGCAUGGGUCUCUGGCGCAGACUCGUCUCCCAGCUUAAUCCUCCGCGCAGCCGGCCUCGGUAUCCCUGCUCAAACGUAUUUGGGGAAAAAACAAUCAAUAAGCCCAGUCUGGCUAAUCAAUAUAUUAUGUAGGCGGUUGUGAUUAUGAGCUACCUACAUGGGAAAGCACCGGCUGCCGGCUGGGACCGAACUGGCAGCCAGUGUUUGGGACCAUGUGAAUGGGCUAGUACUGAUAUUGGCCAGACUUGGGGGAUGGUUUCCAUUAGGGAAUUGUGUAUGGUAUCAUUUUACUGGCACCCAGUUGGGAUUCAUUAGUUGGCCCCAAGGUCAAACCCAAGGCCAUAAAACUUCUUAUUGAAUGUUUCUAUGCUUAAAUACAGAUUAUAUAAGAAAAA
Molecule: long non-coding RNA, 1658 nt
Organism: Xenopus tropicalis (tropical clawed frog)
Lineage: Eukaryota; Metazoa; Chordata; Amphibia; Anura; Pipidae
Exons: 5
Source: RefSeq, a predicted model, not a curated record